Molecule: ribosomal RNA, 424 nt
Filed under: uncultured cyanobacterium
Lineage: Bacteria; Bacillati; Cyanobacteriota
Description: bacterial SSU rRNA
Rfam family: Bacterial small subunit ribosomal RNA
Source: RNAcentral
GGGGAAUCUUCCGCAAUGGGCGAAAGCCUGACGGAGCAACGCCGCGUGAGGGAUGAAGGCCUCUGGGCUGUAAACCUCUUUUCUCAAGGAAGAAGAUCUGACGGUACUUGAGGAAUAAGCCACGGCUAAUUCCGUGCCAGCAGCCGCGGUAAUACGGGAGUGGCAAGCGUUAUCCGGAAUUAUUGGGCGUAAAGCGUCCGCAGGCGGCCUUUUAAGUCUGUUGUUAAAGCGUGGAGCUUAACUCCAUUUAAGCAAUGGAAACUGGAAGGCUAGAGUGUGGUAGGGGCAGAGGGAAUUCCCGGUGUAGCGGUGAAAUGCGUAGAUAUCGGGAAGAACACCAGUGGCGAAGGCGCUCUGCUGGGCCAUAACUGACGCUCAUGGACGAAAGCCAGGGGAGCGAAAGGGAUUAGAUACCCCUGUAGUC